CAGCCGCCACGGUAAAACGUAGGGUGCGUGCGUUAAUCGGAAUUACUGGGCGUAAAGCGUGCGCAGGCGGUUUUGUAAGACAGGCGUGAAAUCCCCGGGCUCAACCUGGGAAUGGCGCUUGUGACUGCAAAGCUAGAGUGCGGCAGAGGGGGAUGGAAUUCCGCGUGUAGCAGUGAAAUGCGUAGAUAUGCGGAGGAACACCGAUGGCGAAGGCAAUCCCCUGGGCCUGCACUGACGCUCAUGCACGAAAGCGUGGGGAGCAAACAGGAUUAGAUACCCGCGUAGUCCCUGUCUCUUAUAC
RNAcentral lists this ribosomal RNA (301 nucleotides) under uncultured bacterium. RNAcentral describes it as "partial 16S ribosomal RNA". It matches the Rfam family "Bacterial small subunit ribosomal RNA", at positions 509 to 807 of the family's 1533-position model. The record is from RNAcentral.